GACGAGAGGGUGCAAACGUUGCUCGGAAUCACUGGGCGUAAAGGGCGUGUAGGCGGGCAGGUAAGUCGGGCGUGAAAUCCCUGAGCUCAACUCAGGAACUGCACUCGAAACUACUUGUCUUGAGUACCGGAGAGGAAAGACGGAAUACCUGGUGUAGAGGUGAAAUUCGUAGAUAUCGAGGUGGAACACCAGUGGCGAAGGCGGCUUUCUGGACGGUAACUGACGCGUGAGAACGCGAA
Molecule: ribosomal RNA, 239 nt
Filed under: uncultured bacterium
Lineage: Bacteria
Description: partial 16S ribosomal RNA
Rfam family: Bacterial small subunit ribosomal RNA
Source: RNAcentral